UACGUAGGGGGCUAGCGUUGUCCGGAAUCAUUGGGCGUAAAGCGCGUGUAGGCGGUCCGGUAAGUCCGCUGUGAAAGUCGGGGGCUCAACCCUCGGAUGCCGGUGGAUACUGUCGGGCUUGAGUACGGAAGAGGCGAGUGGAAUUCCUGGUGUAGCGGUGAAAUGCGCAGAUAUCAGGAGGAACACCAACUGCGAAGGCAGCUCGCUGGGACGUUACUGACGCUGAGACGCGAAAGCGUGGGGAGCAAACAGG
RNAcentral lists this ribosomal RNA (253 nucleotides) under uncultured bacterium. RNAcentral describes it as "partial 16S ribosomal RNA". It matches the Rfam family "Bacterial small subunit ribosomal RNA", at positions 524 to 776 of the family's 1533-position model. The record is from RNAcentral.